Acinonyx jubatus (cheetah) is the source of this 1497-nucleotide long non-coding RNA. RefSeq lists it as uncharacterized. Lineage: Eukaryota; Metazoa; Chordata; Mammalia; Carnivora; Felidae. The transcript is spliced from 3 exons. The record is from RefSeq and is a predicted model, not a curated record.
GGAAUUUCAAAUGAAAGAUGAACAAGGGGGCUUUGAUGGCAAGGCCUCAGGGACGCGCGCGCGCCCUCGCCACCCUUUUCCUUUCCACCCACAGACUCUCAGCACGUUGAGGUGGCGGGCCGGGCGGCAGCUUCUCCCCUCCUUCUCGCCCGCGGGCGGCCGGGGCAGCCUCGCCACCCGGCGCGCGCGGGCCCUUUAAGAGCUACACCAGCCGAGAUGCAGUUUGACAUCAGCCGGCCGGCGAGGGCGCGCCUGGAGCCGGAGCACGUGCCAGGAUGUUUUAUUGCCGCCGCGGCUGCGGCCGGGCCGGGAGGAUGUGUGUGUGCGUGCGUGUGUGAGUGUGUGUGCGCGCGCCCCAGGGGCAGGGAGGCGGGGGGCGGCGGCGGGCGGCGGAGCGCGGGGGCUGGUUCUCGGUCCCCGGGAGAAGCCAAGAAGCCUGCCAGAGCCGAGGUAGCUGCCCUGCCAAGAGCUAUCCUGGGAGAGCUAUUGAAAGAGCCUUGAAGCAGAUGGGCCUGGAGCUCCCCACCUUCUGGUUUGCACUAGGUUGUGUGCUAAUAUGGCGAUGCGACCACGGGACUUUGCACCUGCCAAGCAUGGCAGAGAACAUCCAUCUCCCUUGGACAUGUGAAUGCAAAGAAAGCAAGUGCUGUAAUCUGAAAUCCAGGCCAUUGUUUAAUGGCAGAAGGAAGACCCCAAAGGAAGGAGCUUUUUCCCACCCCAAACACUCGCCCCUUUGGUCUUGAAUUUGACCGUGUUCUUUUAUGGAAAACAACAACAAAACAAAACAAAACAAAAACACACAAAACUUUUUUUCCGAAUAGCUCAAAGUCAAGGUUUGCUGUUUGUUAUUUCCUUAAAAAAAGUCAAGAGAGAAAAGAAAAUUGGGUCCCUAGCCUGAAUGUUCUCCUAUGUGCCUAUUUAAUGAUUAAUAACACCUUGUGGGCUAUUGUUUGAUGUGGCCUCUGCUGGUUUGAACAGGAGAAUACUGAUUCACUCUCAAGGCAUUUAUGAAUCACAAGUGUUUACCCUGAGACAAUAAAUGAAAGGGGGAGAUUGAAAAAAAAACACCCAAAUAUGCUGAGUUCUUUGAGCAAAAACUGGAGGUAAUAGUCUUUGAUACCCUGUGUGGGGCCCACUGUUUUCUUUCACAGAAUAAAGAUGGUGUAGAAUGACCAAGAGGGCACUUUUGAGUUUUAUACAUUUUUUUUUCACUUACUGAUAGGGUUGAAGCAACUUUCCCCCUUAUUUUCUUCCUUCUUCCUUCCUUCCUUCCUUCCUUCCUUCCUUCCUUCCUUCCUUCCUUCCUUCCUCCCUUCUUUCUGCCCCCAAAUCUAGGGUCCGGUGAAAACAGACUGUUAAAUUUGCCCCUGAUGACCCUUUAAAUUUUUUUAAAUUUUGAAAUGAUUUUAUUUUUUUUUUACGUGUUUAGUUAUUUAUUUUGAGAGAAAGAGAGCUAGAGAGUGAGCCAGGAAGAGGCAGAGAGAGAGGGAGAGAGAG